This 433-nucleotide ribosomal RNA is filed under the name uncultured bacterium. RNAcentral describes it as "partial 16S ribosomal RNA". It matches the Rfam family "Bacterial small subunit ribosomal RNA", at positions 29 to 507 of the family's 1533-position model. The record is from RNAcentral.
AACGAACGCUGGCGGCAUGCCUAACACAUGCAAGUCGAACGAGACCUCCGUGUCUGGUUGCGCACGGGUGCGUAACGCGGCGGAACCUGCACUUAGGCUCGGAAUAACUCCUCGACAGGGGUGCUAAUGCCGGAUAAUUUCCUCGGACACAGGAUUCAUCGUCCUUGGAUGGGCGCGCGUUGGUUUAGCCUGUUGGUAGUGUAAAAGCCUAUCACGGCGUCGCUCCUUAGCUGGGCUGAGAGGCAGGUCAGCCACACUGGGACGAGGAUGCGGCCCAGAAUCCUACGGGAGGCAGCAGUGGGGAAUAUAGGAAUAUGGGCGAAAGCCUGAUCCAGCUAGGCCGCGUGAGUGAUGAAGGCCUUAGGGAUGUAAAGCUCUUUUACCCGGGAUGAUAAUGACAGUACCGGGAGAAUAAGCUCCGGCUAACUCCGUG